RNAcentral lists this ribosomal RNA (254 nucleotides) under uncultured bacterium. Its description in RNAcentral is "partial 16S ribosomal RNA". It matches the Rfam family "Bacterial small subunit ribosomal RNA", at positions 524 to 776 of the family's 1533-position model. The record is from RNAcentral.
CACGUAGGCACCAAGCGUUGUCCGGAUUUAUUGGGCGUAAAGAGCUCGUAGGCGGUUCAGUAAGUCGGGUGUGAAAACUCUGGGCUCAACCCAGAGACGCCACCCGAUACUGCUGUGACUUGAGUACGGUAGGGGAGUGGGGAAUUCCUGGUGUAGCGGUGAAAUGCGCAGAGAUGUGGAGGAAUACCGAUGGCGAAGGCAGCCCCCUGGGAUAACACUGACGCUCAUGCACGAAAGCGUGGGGAGCAAACAGG